Molecule: ribosomal RNA, 254 nt
Filed under: uncultured bacterium
Lineage: Bacteria
Description: partial 16S ribosomal RNA
Rfam family: Bacterial small subunit ribosomal RNA
Source: RNAcentral
UACGUAGGGACCAAGCGUUGUCCGGAAUCAUUGGGCGUAAAGAGCGUGUAGGCGGCUUGUUAAGUCUUGCGUGAAAUCUCGGGGCUCAACCCCGAGCGGUCGUGAGAAACUGGCAGGCUAGAGUGCGGGAGAGGAGAGUGGAAUUCCUGGUGUAGCGGUGAAAUGCGCAGAUAUCAGGAAGAACACCCGGUGGCGAAGGCGGCUCUCUGGAACGCAACUGACGCUGAGACGCGAAAGCGUGGGGAGCGAACAGG